UGAGAAACCCUAUAGAAGGGAGAGUCGAUCUGAGAGAUGAUUGCUGAUUGCUUUAAUAAGAAUUGUAUCCGUGUUUUAUCUGAGAUGGUUUGAGUGAUUUUUUUCUACGUGACUAUUUUUGUUUACGAUGAUGUGAGUGUGAUUUGUUUUGUGUUAUCUUAACACGGUUUAUUUUCGAGAUUUUGGAGAACGAGAUUAUUUUUAAAUCGGGAAAUGGCAUACAGCUAUUUUUUUUAUUUUGCAUAUCAGUUUUUUUUUUAUGAGAAAUAUUUUACUGAGAUAUAUAUAUAAAUAAGUUUAUGAUGAGAUGAGAUAUUCCAAUAGUUUGAGCUAUUGUAUUUUUGAUGAGGUUAAAAAUUCCUUUCCUUUCGAUAAAAUUGUAGCAGCUCAAGCGUAGCUGAGCUCUGCUCUGGAGGCAGAGCUGAAAACCGAGCUCUGCUCUGGAAGCAGAGCUGAAGUUGAACCGAGCUCUGCUCUGGAAGCAGAGCUGAUGUUGAGCCGAGCUCUGCUCUGCUCUGACGACAGAGCUGAAAACCC
Molecule: long non-coding RNA, 537 nt
Filed under: Salvia miltiorrhiza (redroot sage)
Lineage: Eukaryota; Viridiplantae; Streptophyta; Magnoliopsida; Lamiales; Lamiaceae
Description: long non-coding RNA (SMIL_LNC008674)
Source: RNAcentral